Non-coding RNA from Misgurnus anguillicaudatus (oriental weatherfish), 330 nucleotides. The record is from RefSeq and is a predicted model, not a curated record. Lineage: Eukaryota; Metazoa; Chordata; Actinopteri; Cypriniformes; Cobitidae.
AGGAAUAUCUGCAAUGCGGAUGUCUGCAGUUUACGCAUCAUUAAUAUUACUUAUUCAUAUAUCAUAAUGAAAGUGAAAGUAUAACAGAUCCUUUAAAUACUCUGCACUGGUUCUCUCCACUAAAUACUUGAAUGAAGCAUCAUCAGUGUGUUAUCACUGACAGAAGAGAAAUCACAAACAUCAGUAGCAGACUUACAGCGCAGACCAUCUUCAAAUCUUGAAAAUAAUCCCAGGUGUUGCAAAUAUGGGCGCGGAAGAGUCAAAACCACCAUCACCUCCACCACCGCCUCAACCAGAAUUCAAUGAACCAUGGAGAAAGAUUGAUUGGAA